RNAcentral lists this long non-coding RNA (1118 nucleotides) under Callithrix jacchus (white-tufted-ear marmoset). RNAcentral describes it as "lncRNA (ENSCJAG00000075655.1)". Lineage: Eukaryota; Metazoa; Chordata; Mammalia; Primates; Cebidae. The record is from RNAcentral.
UGGCUGUAUAUGUACCCAACGAAUUAGCCUGACUUUUUGUUAACAGGAACAGGCAGGAGAAUGUGACUGCUGGCAGUGUGCAUCACAUCCUUACAGCUAGCAUCAAGGAAGACAGAAAUUGUUCUCUUCCCCAAAACUGUCUGAGAAAUCUUUGGGGAAGGACCCUGGCCUGGCCGGGAUUGUGCAUCUUACCCUGAUGUGAAGCUCUGAGGCUUGAGUUGGGGAGGCUGUGCUUAACUCAGCCCACCUGUGUUCAAAGGGACAGGGUUUGUAUCCAGGUGAAGGUGCGAUGUCAGGAAGCCAGGUUAGUUUGCAAAACGUUACCUAUUUCUGCAGAAAAAGCUGGGGACUUGCUAUUGUUUCCCUUGUAUCACCUCUGUUAUUCCUGCAGUAUUUUGGCCCUGGCUUCCUCAGAGAGGUGAGCCCUUGGUAACUUUGUUCCAGCCUUUAAAACCAGAUACCCAUCCAUUCCUUUGGACAAGGUCCAAUCUCAGUGAGCCUUGGCCUUUCUAACCUAAUCAUGGCAAAUGUCUUUCUGACCUAAUUUUAACACUCCAUUUCUGUUCCAGAGCAUCCUGCCUCCUGACUCCUUCGACGUUUACUCAGAAUUCUCACCCUGAACUGGACUUUUGGACUCAACAACAAAAGGAUCUUCUUUCUACUCUUCAUAAGAGCUGAGAAGUCUGGAAUUCUCCACCUCAAAUCUACUGUUAGAAAGGGUUGCAGGUUUUAAAAAGGGCAAAUGCCUCAGGAAAAGUCUGGCUCUGAGAAGAGAGGGGCAGAUACAUGGCCUCCAGAAGUCACGGAGGAAAUGCAGGAAUAACAGCUUCGUGAUGAGAAAAGGAGCAAGACUGGCUGUGAAGAAGCCUGAGGGGGAGAGGAACCAAUUUGGGGAUAAAGUGAAAGUUUGGCGACCAUUAUCCGGUGGCGAAGGAAAGGCUAUUUCUGGUUUUAGGUGUCACACUGGGCUAUACCUUAAGCAAGAUACAUAAAGAAGAGAGGCAGGAGCUGAGGAGGAGUAGCAAUUGGUCAGCUAAAGAAGAUCUAUUAGGGACCUCUGAAGAAUUCACAAUUGUGUGCUCAGGAAAAAAGUCAGCUUUGGUCAUUCAUCACACCAC